This 494-nucleotide ribosomal RNA is filed under the name uncultured bacterium. RNAcentral describes it as "partial 16S ribosomal RNA". It matches the Rfam family "Bacterial small subunit ribosomal RNA", at positions 28 to 507 of the family's 1533-position model. The record is from RNAcentral.
GACGAACGCUGGCGGCGUGCUUAACACAUGCAAGUCGAACGGAAAGGCCUGCUUUCCCUUGUGGAUUGCGGGUACUCGAGUGGCGAACGGGUGAGUAACACGUGAGUGAUCUGCCCCCAACUUGGGUAUAAGCCUGGGAAACUGGGUCUAAUUCCCGAUAGGACUGCAGGGUGGUGCCUGUGGUGGAAAACGAUUUUCUAGUGGUUGGGGAUGAGCUCGCGGCCUAUCAGCUUGUUGGUGGGGUAAUGGCCUACCAAGGCGGCGACGGGUAGCCGGCCUGAGAGGGUGGACGGCCACAUUGGGACUGAGAUACGGCCCAGACGCCGACGGGAGGCAGCAGUGGGGAAGAUUGCACAAUGGGCGGAAGCCUGAUGCAGCGACGCCGCGUGGGGGAUGACGGCCUUCGGGUGGUAAACUCCUUUCGACCGCGAGGAAGCCACCUGGUUGGAAGGGUGGUGACGGUAGUGGUAGAAGAAGCACCGGCUAACUACGUG